AUUGAACGCUGGCGGCAUGCCUUACACAUGCAAGUCGAACGGCAGCAUAGAGAGCUUGCUCUCUGAUGGCGAGUGGCGAACGGGUGAGUAAAGCAGCGGAACGUACCGUGUAGUGGGGGAUAACGUAGCGAAAGUUACGCUAAUACCGCAUACGCACUGAGGUGGAAAGCAGGGGAUCGCAAGACCUUGCGCUAUACGAGCGGCCGAUGUCAGAUUAGCUAGUUGGUAGGGUAAAGGCCUACCAAGGCGACGAUCUGUAGCGGGUCUGAGAGGAUGAUCCGCCAGACUUGGACUGAGACACGGCCCAGACUCCUACGGGAGGGAGCAGUGGGGAAUUUUGGACAAUGGGGGCAACCCUGAUCCAGCCAUGCCGCGUGAGUGAAGAAGGCCUUCGGGUUGUAAAGCUCUUUCGGCCGGGAAGAAAUCGCACAGGCUAAUACUCUGUGUGGAUGACGGUACCGGCAUAAGAAGCACCGGCUAACUACGUGCCAGCCGCCGCGGUAA
RNAcentral lists this ribosomal RNA (504 nucleotides) under uncultured bacterium. RNAcentral's name for it is "partial 16S ribosomal RNA". It matches the Rfam family "Bacterial small subunit ribosomal RNA", at positions 30 to 523 of the family's 1533-position model. The record is from RNAcentral.